This 216-nucleotide ribosomal RNA is filed under the name uncultured bacterium. RNAcentral describes it as "partial 16S ribosomal RNA". It matches the Rfam family "Bacterial small subunit ribosomal RNA", at positions 524 to 738 of the family's 1533-position model. The record is from RNAcentral.
UACGUAGGGGGGCAAGCGUUGUCCGGAUUUAUUGGGCGUAAAGAGCGUGUAGGCGGCUAGGUAGGUCCGUUGUGAAAACUCGAGGCUCAACCUCGAGACGCCGGUGGAAACCAUCUAGCUAGAGUCCGGAAGAGGAGAGUGGAAUUCCUGGUGUAGCGGUGAAAUGCGCAGAUAUCAGGAAGAACACCCGUGGCGAAGGCGGCUCUCUGGGACGUG